GCUCGGAUGGUCUAGUGGUAUGAUUCUCGCUUAGGGUCACUCCCUAAGUUCAAAUUGCGAGAGGUCCCCGGUUCAAAUCCGGGUUCGAGCC
This 91-nucleotide transfer RNA is filed under the name Sphaerosporella brunnea. RNAcentral describes it as "tRNA-Pro". It matches the Rfam family "tRNA". From Rfam's summary of the family: Transfer RNA (tRNA) molecules are approximately 80 nucleotides in length. The record is from RNAcentral. Lineage: Eukaryota; Fungi; Ascomycota; Pezizomycetes; Pezizales; Pyronemataceae.